Molecule: unclassified non-coding RNA, 303 nt
Filed under: Hevea brasiliensis (rubber tree)
Lineage: Eukaryota; Viridiplantae; Streptophyta; Magnoliopsida; Malpighiales; Euphorbiaceae
Source: RNAcentral
AGAACCCAAUGAUGAGAAUUACAUUGGAUACAUGAGUGAUAGAUAAUAUAUUAUAUGAUACAUAAAAAAACAAAGCUUGAAGGACAACUUAUCUAAUGUAUCAGUAUAAACUAGGAAUAUAAAACAAUUAUCUCAGAAUUAUUAGAGAGCAACCACUUUAAGGAAGCUGUAGAGGCAGCAGGGCUUAACAAGCUCUUAAAAGUAGAAUACAAAUACUAUUAAAAUCCAAUCAUUUGUAUCAAAGUGUGCGUUGACAUCAUUGAACCAAAAAAACUAUUGCCAACCUUUUUCAUUUCCUGAAAU